UGUUUUUGAAAUUUAUAUUUUCAUUUUUAUCGCCUACAAACAUUCGCUUUUUAACCGAGGUUAAUACAUUUUAAAGAAUAUGAAAUAUCAGGGAUCACUGAGUAAUAUUCAGGUAAGAAUAUUGUUAUGUUUUAUACAUAAUAGAGCAAUUUAGAAAGGAAAUAUUUACUAUCUUCAUUCGUGAAUUUCGAGCGUGUGUUCCAGCUUAAAAUUUGAAUAUUUGCCGCGACAAUAUUUGAAUUAAAACGAUGAUAUAAUUAUAAAAGGCUUACAUUUGACCAGCCUUUAAAUCUAAUUAGAUUUAUUGUAAAUGCCAAAUAGUGUAGAACUUUGUGUAUAUGACAAAUUGCCAGAUUCCAGUGUUUCUUGUAUAAAAUAAUAUAGAUGCCUACUCAAUCCUCAUAUGCCUACCUAGGUAUGUCCCAGGUAAACAUGCUUUGAGAGAAUUUAUCAACUUGUUUCAAAUCAACUGCUACUUUCAUGGCAAGGGUGUUGAUGUUUUUUAAUUACAAAUUUGACUCCAAUGAACACAAUUUUCAGCACAUUGUUGAAUAACAUCGAUCUUGUCUGAUGCUGGACAAUUUUAUUCAUCAAGGGAAGUGUCUAGCUAUAGACUCUUCUCAUGUUUCAUGUUAUUGUUGACAUAUUUUUUAAAAUGGAAUUUUCACUCCAUCACCUUUUAACACCUACGAAGCAAUUUUCUUUUAUGUUACCUACUUCAAGUUCUCUGUAGGGAUGUGCAGGAUAGAAUCGUUUUGCUAUCCAGCCAGAUACAGGAUAUAUGUUGAAUAGUUAAAAAAUAUCCAGCCAGAUUCAGGGUAUUAGGAGCUGAUUACAUGGACCAGGCUAGCCCGGCAAACCUGGUUAGCCCGAUUACUAUAAUAAUCUCAUAAAAAUUUUGAGUUUCAAUUACAUAUGGCAGCCGGGCCAGCCCGCUUUGCCAGGAAUCCUGGCUUUUGCAACCGAGCAUAUCGGGCUGAAAAUUGCAAACACAUGGUUUUUAUUUUGAAAUUAUUAACAAAUAAUAGCACAAAAAUCACAAGUUUGCACUAAAGCACUGCUUUUGAGCAUUAAAUAAACCCUUAAACGUUUUAGAUAGUGAAUCGACUGGAUUUAGUGGAUCAUAAGCGAAACAAUACCUAAUACAAAUACAUCAACAAAUACUAAUCACAAUGUAGGGAAGCCCUAAAAUUCCGCAUAUACUGUUAACAUUCUUUAGUUAUAAUAUCCAGCAAUGAUUAUUCAAGUAUUAAAACUUUUCAAUAUAAUGAACUUACUUCAGCCCAGUUAACCGGGCAGGCACACUACAUGUAAUUGUAAAUUAAAAGUCAUCUUGCUCAGCUGUCCGGUCCAUGUAAUCGGCCCCUUAUUCAAAUAUAUAAGGUCCAGCGGCCUCAUUUAAGGUUAAGUAAUAAUUUUAAUUGGUUAAAGAGUAAUGGUGUUAAUAAUACUUUGAUUUGAAAUAAUAGGAAUGAAUUUCGCAGUCUAGUACUGGUAAACAUGCAUCAUUGGUAGUAAAAGCCUCACUUGCAUUAGUUCAAAGGGCAAACCUGCAUGUACAAAAAUUUGAAAAUAGUGUAAGCAUUCCUGUGAUCAAUCCAUUGGAUAAAAAUAUGAUAAACAACUCACCUUUUUUAACCUGAUCAAAUCAUAUUCUAACUUGUAACGAAGGCCUGAACCUUAUAUAAAUAAUAUCCAGCAUUGGGCGGCCAGGUCUACCAUAAAAUGAAGUAAAAACUCAGUAUCUGGCCAGAUAUGAUAUCCAUUGCAUCCCUAGUUAUUUGUUAUGUUUCUUUGUUUUAAAAUUCCAACUUUACUUAAUUACUUGUUAAGGAGAGAGUGUUGGAUAUACGUCUAUGAGAUGACUGUAUAUUCUUGGUAUUCAAUUUUCUUAUUUAAUUAAUUAAAUAUAUGCACCUUUUGUACCCUUUUAUAGUUAACCCUCAGAUGUAUAAUGGCUUCCCUUCCACAUGCACUGGGAGACAGACAGACCCACCAAAACAAGACAUGUAAGCUUUUUUUGCGAUUCUUCAUGCAAGUUUACUAAGGCCCCGUUUACAUGAGACCGGAACGAAGUCAAACCGGGACCAUCUCGUUUCGGUCAUAGUAUUAUCUAUAAUAGAUGUUUACAUGAGACCGGGACGAAAAUAACUCAGACCGGUCUCAAGUCAUUCCGCCUUCUGGACCGAACCGACUGACUUCAGACCGGCAUGAAUUCAGACCGGGAUGAAUGUAAACACAAAUACAUUUCAGACCUGUCUCGGCUGUAAUCUUGACAUUGGAACAACACAUGCUAGCAAAAGCCACCUGAAAAAGAAAAUUGCCUGGCAAGGGGAAUAAAUUGAAGAUUUUGUGAUCCUCGUACCGGUCUCAAUGUAAACAUGUUGACAAUUUCAAUGUUCAUUCCGGUUUGACUUCGUCCCGGUCUCAUGUAAACAGGGCCUAACAUUUUUCUUUGUAAUGUAGGUUUGAGACCCAUUGCGCCCUGCUUUAUUAUUUUACUCUUUCUAACGCCAUACGAUUUACUUGUCAAGGGGAGAGCUCUGGUGCUUAAUGGGUUAAGCAUUCAGGAGUUUCAGAAUAAGCCGGACGCCGCCGGCUACUUGAACUUGUGCCGCCGGCUACUUUUCAUCUGGUCACAGGAAAAAUUUUAUAUACAAAGGUAUAAGUGAACCAACACGAUGCUUCUUAUGUUCCAAUUGGGGUUCAAGCAAAACAUCACUUAUUUUGGAAGAUGAAUAAGAUCAAUAAUACAUAGUACCAAACAUAGCUUGCUUUCUUAAGUUGCUUUGUUUUCGCGUCACCAUCUUGAAUUUUGUAGCAAAUGGUCAGCGACUCUGAAUCUUCCUGAACAGGAAGAUGACUCUGAUUGACUCUGACGAAUUUGACAGUGAGCCAGAGAACGAGUCAGAUUCAGAGCUACUUUGGUAAAUGUUUUUCAAGUGACUAAUUCUUUGACAGUGAAUUAAUUAUAAUAAAGUGAUGAAGUAAAGUUUAUUACGUACAUAAGUAUAGCAUCAUUUAAUUAAUGAUUUUGAACUCAUAAAUUAAUACUAAUAGUGUACAUUGUCAUUAUGGUCAUGCAGCUGUACUAGUAAACUACUAGUAGCACAUUAAAGUGCAUUGUCACUUACAAGUAUAAAUGCAAAUGACAUCUAAAUCUAACAUGUUAACAGUUGUACUUUGUCUUUUUACUUAUUCUAUAUUAUUUGAUUGUUAUCAACUAUCACUCACAGCCGGCUAGUAUUUUGGUACAGCUGCCUACUUUUUUGGUACAGCCACCUACUUCAAAUCAUUCUGAAACCCCUAAGCAUUAUUUAUAUUUUUAAACUCUGUAAUGCUGUCAUGCAAUGCCAUUGUGAACCAAUUGAACCAUACUGUACCAUACUAUUAGCAUUAAUGGUACCAAGAUGUGAUGGUCUUAACUCUUUAAUAAUUCAACACACAAGUGGCUGUCGAAACAUUAAAUUAUAACUGUAUGAAGCCACCUGUAAAUGACUUCUUGAACUAUAACAUGUUCCUAGUUUGUAGCAUUCAGCUUUGUUAUCCAUACAAUUGCCUGUAUACAGUAGUGCUUUAAUUUGCAAAACUGUCCAUUUUUGAGUAACUAUAUGCAGGGGUGUGGUUUAGUUAUUAGUUAUGUAUAGUGUAUAGUAGUUUGGUUAAUUAAGUUUAAUUUACCACGUCUAACCCCAGGCCUAGAGCAAGUGUCAUUUGUGUAUUCAAGUUUGAUUCAAUAUAAAAAGAGAAUUAAUUUUAAACCUCUCUGCCAUUGUGGUAAUUAAUUGUCAGUAUUCAAGGUUGCAAACCAAAAGUUGAGUAGUGUAAUUAACUGUUCUAGUAAGAAUAGUGUCUGAAUUAAUAUUUAUAAUUGUGAGUACUAUGCACUGAUUAAUAAAUGCAACAUAUUUUGUAGGGAACUGAUGAUGUGAACCGCCAUAUUAAAUCGACAGUCUCACCU
RNAcentral lists this long non-coding RNA (3961 nucleotides) under Paramuricea clavata. Lineage: Eukaryota; Metazoa; Cnidaria; Anthozoa; Malacalcyonacea; Plexauridae. The record is from RNAcentral.